This 2238-nucleotide ribosomal RNA is filed under the name Triticum aestivum (bread wheat). RNAcentral's name for it is "partial small subunit ribosomal RNA". The record is from RNAcentral. Lineage: Eukaryota; Viridiplantae; Streptophyta; Magnoliopsida; Poales; Poaceae.
AUGUCUUUUAUAAUCCCCUCUGGUAGAAAGAGCAGAGCUAAGAAAAGACCACCUAGGGUCUGGUAUGAUGAGGGCAGGCUGCAUCCAGAGCAGCAAUUCCAUCUUAGGCUUUGUUUCAGAGAUGUGUACCAGUUUAGAGAGGCUAUUGUGAAUUUGCAUGUGAAACAACUUAGAAGAUACAAAUAUCACAGAAACUGCAGUGAUAGGGUAAUAGUGUGUUGUGAUGGAGAGGGCUGUCAGUUCCACAUGGUUGCAGCAAAAAUCAGUAAUGAGCCCACUUUCUGCAUUAAGAAGAUGGUAUUGGAGCACACCUGUCCCACCCAAUCUGACAAGACAAGGGUCAGCUCCAAGUGGCUUGGCAACAAAAUGCUUGAAACUAUCAGAUCAGACCCCAACACUACUGUACCUGCUAUAGUUGACAAGGUAAAGAGGCAGUUUGAUGUUGAGGUGCCCAAGAUGAUGGCAUGGAGAGCAAAGAGGAAAGCAAAGGAGAUUGUGCUUGGAGAUCACAAGAGGCAAUACAAGAGGCUGAGAGAUUUUUUGGAGACUGUGAAGGCUACAAAUCCUGGAUCAAGAUGCAUUGUCAGUACUAUGAGUGGAAAAACAAGAGAAAACCCAACUGCAGGACCAAGGUUUCAUGGUCUUUUUUUCUGUUUGAAUGCAUGUGUUGAGGGAUUUUUGAAUGGAUGCAGGCCAUUCAUAGGCCUAGAUGGUUGUUUCAUUAAGUUAACUAGUGGGGCACAAAUACUAGCUGCUACUGGAAGGGAUGCAAACAACAAUAUGUACCCCAUAGCAUUUGGAGUGGUUGGAGUUGAAGACACACCAAAUUGGUCAUGGUUUUUGACUCAACUCAAAUAUGCCCUAGGAGGGACUGAAGAGGGAAAAUUUGGGAAGUACACAUUCAUGUCUGAUAGACAGAAGGGUCUGUUGAAUGCAGUCACAACAGUCUUUCCCAACUGCCCUCGUAGGUACUGCUUGAGGCACAUUUAUGCCAACUUUCAGAGAGCAGGAUUCAGAGGAGAAGACUUGAAGAAAUGCAUGGAUGCAGCUGCAUAUGCUUACACUGAACAUGACUUUCAGAUGGCAAUGGAGAGCAUGAAGGCUGAGUGCAAGGCUGCUUGGGAGUGGAUGUCAAGGAUUCCUCCAAAAGCAUGGUCAAGACAUGCAAUGGAUACUAACCGCAAAACUGAUCUGGUUGUCAAUAACUUAAGUGAAGUUUUUAAUAAGUACAUACUUGAUGUAAGGAACAAGCCAAUUGCCACCAUGAUCAAUGGGAUCAAGGACAAACUUCUGGUAAGGUAUCAACAAAAGAGAGAGGGUGGACUAGUUUCAAGAUGGGAAAUUGCACCAACUUAUGUUGAGAGGUUAGAGAUGAACAAGAGAUAUGCAAGGGACUGCAAAUCAUUGAUAGCUGGACCAGGUCUUUUCCAAGUGAGUAGUGGGGAUAAGACCUACUCUGUUGACACUAAUCUGAAAACAUGUGGUUGUAAGAAGUGGGACAUCUCUGGAAUUCCUUGCAACCAUGGUUGUUUUGCCAUCUACAGGUCCAAACAACUACCAGAGGACCAUGUAAAUAUUUUCUUCAAAAAGGCUAUGUACUUGGAGUCAUACAAGCCUAUCAUUUACCCAGUUCCUGGUCCUGAUUGUUGGGUGAAAAAUGCAACUCCUGACAUUGACCCACCUCAGUUCAAAGAAGACAAGAAGGGACCAGCAGAAGAGAAAAGGAAGAAAUGCAGGUUUGAGCCUCCUCAAGCAAAGCAGACAUCAAGAAUGGCUACAAUAACUUGUAGUAACUGCAAGUUGCAGGGCCACAAAUACACAAGUUGUGCAAAGCCAUUGAGGCCAGAUCUGCAAAUCAGGAAGAACAAACACAUGGAAAACAGGACAGCCCCUGCAUGGCAGCAAGGGGGGAGCUCAACAUCUGGUACAACAACUCCUAGGGGUGCAAGCUCUACAUCUGCUUCAAGGGGAUCUGCUGCUGCUGCUGCUUCAAGGGGCAAAUCUGCUAGAGCUGCUGCUACAUCUGCUGGUUCAUCUGCUAGAGCUGCAAAUUCUUCUCCUUCUGGUGCUGGUACUGCUGCUGCAAGGAGAGGUGCAAAAACAGGUGCAAGAAGCUUCAAUCCUCCAAAAACUACUGCAGAAGCUUCAACUAGCCAGCCAACAGGAAAUAGGCCAAAAAGGGCAAGAUACAUGAGCAAAAGGAUGGAGGGGUACUUCUAUGCCAGUGGGAACUACUGA